This 429-nucleotide ribosomal RNA is filed under the name Acidobacteriota bacterium. RNAcentral describes it as "Acidobacteria bacterium partial 16S ribosomal RNA". It matches the Rfam family "Bacterial small subunit ribosomal RNA", at positions 355 to 776 of the family's 1533-position model. Lineage: Bacteria; Pseudomonadati; Acidobacteriota. The record is from RNAcentral.
UGGGGAAUUUUGGACAAUGGGGGAAACCCUGAUCCAGCCAUCCCGCGUGUGCGAUGAAGGCCUUCGGGUUGUAAAGCACUUUUGGCAGGAAAGAAACGUCAUGGGUUAAUACCCCGUGAAACUGACGGUACCUGCAGAAUAAGCACCGGCUAACUACGUGCCAGCAGCCGCGGUAAUACGUAGGGUGCAAGCGUUAAUCGGAAUUACUGGGCGUAAAGCGUGCGCAGGCGGUUCGGAAAGAAAGAUGUGAAAUCCCAGAGCUCAACUUUGGAACUGCAUUUUUAACUACCGGGCUAGAGUGUGUCAGAUGGAGGUGGAAUUCCGCGUGUAGCAGUGAAAUGCGUAGAUAUGCGGAGGAACACCGAUGGCGAAGGCAGCCUCCUGGGAUAACACUGACGCUCAUGCACGAAAGCGUGGGGAGCAAACAGG